UCUGGUGUCGCUGUCGUCGCUUGAUGUGACAGUAGAAAAGAUCAAACGGCUGGUGAUGAAGGUCGUUGAGAAACAUAUCAUUUUCAACAAGUUGAUUUAGCAAAACACGGUAAGAGCAAUGGUCUGGUACUCCGGCCAAACUGGUGACGCUCUGAUUAUAUCACUCGGGCUAAUAAAGAUGGUAAUGAAGUAAGAAGUAUUAGUCUGACUCUAGGGUUCCGAUUAAGUUCCGCUAGCUUAGACUUGAUUCCGGGAAAGUACUAUAUGUUGUAUUUCUACGAAGAAG
RNAcentral lists this long non-coding RNA (286 nucleotides) under Helianthus annuus (common sunflower). Its description in RNAcentral is "sRNA HanXRQr2_Chr10g0458691". Lineage: Eukaryota; Viridiplantae; Streptophyta; Magnoliopsida; Asterales; Asteraceae. The record is from RNAcentral.